GGGUGUAUAGCUCAAUUGGUAGAGCAAUCGGCUGUUAACCGAUGUGUCGCAGGUUCGAGCCCUGUUAUGCCCG
Molecule: transfer RNA, 73 nt
Filed under: Caudoviricetes sp.
Lineage: Duplodnaviria; Heunggongvirae; Uroviricota; Caudoviricetes
Description: tRNA-Asn
Rfam family: tRNA
About the family: Transfer RNA (tRNA) molecules are approximately 80 nucleotides in length.
Source: RNAcentral